AGAGUUUGAUCAUGGCUCAGAACGAACGCUGGCGGCAUGCCUAACACAUGCAAGUCGAACGAGACCUUCGGGUCUAGUGGCGCACGGGUGCGUAACGCGUGGGAAUCUGCCCUUGGGUUCGGAAUAACAGUUAGAAAUGACUGCUAAUACCGGAUAAUGACUUCGGUCCAAAGAUUUAUCGCCCAGGGAUGAGCCCGCGUCGGAUUAGCUAGUUGGUGAGGUAAAGGCUUACCAAGGCGACGAUCCGUAGCUGGUCUGAGAGGAUGAUCAGCCACACUGGGACUGAGACACGGCCCAGACUCCUACGGGAGGCAGCAGUGGGGAAUAUUGGACAAUGGGCGAAAGCCUGAUCCAGCAAUGCCGCGUGAGUGAUGAAGGCCCUAGGGUUGUAAAGCUCUUUUACCCGGGAUGAUAAUGACAGUACCGGGAGAAUAAGCCCCGGCUAACUCCGUGCCAGCAGCCGCGGUAAUAC
This 472-nucleotide ribosomal RNA is filed under the name uncultured bacterium. RNAcentral describes it as "bacterial SSU rRNA". It matches the Rfam family "Bacterial small subunit ribosomal RNA", at positions 8 to 526 of the family's 1533-position model. The record is from RNAcentral.